AGGGAAACUUGAGCUAAUACCGGAUACGCCCUUAGGGGGAAAGAUUUAUUGCCGAAGGAUUGGCCCGCGUCCGAUUAGCUAGUUGGUGAGGUAAUGGCUCACCAAGGCGACGAUCGGUAGCUGGUCUGAGAGGAUGAUCAGCCACACUGGGACUGAGACACGGCCCAGACUCCUACGGGAGGCAGCAGUGGGGAAUAUUGGACAAUGGGCGCAAGCCUGAUCCAGCCAUGCCGCGUGAGUGAUGAAGGCCCUAGGGUWGUAAAGCUCUUUCGCCAGGGACGAUAAUGACGGCACCUGGAUAAGAAGCCCCGGCUAACUUC
Molecule: ribosomal RNA, 320 nt
Filed under: uncultured proteobacterium MB9a-RC6
Lineage: Bacteria; Pseudomonadati; Pseudomonadota
Description: bacterial SSU rRNA
Rfam family: Bacterial small subunit ribosomal RNA
Source: RNAcentral